GAUGAACGCUGGCGGCGUGCCUAAUACAUGCAAGUCGAGCGAACGGACGAGAAGCUUGCUUCUCUGAUGUUAGCGGCGGACGGGUGAGUAACACGUGGAUAACCUACCUAUAAGACUGGGAUAACUUCGGGAAACCGGAGCUAAUACCGGAUAAUAUUUUGAACCGCAUGGUUCAAAAGUGAAAGACGGUCUUGCUGUCACUUAUAGAUGGAUCCGCGCUGCAUUAGCUAGUUGGUAAGGUAACGGCUUAUCAAGGCAACGAUGCAUAGCCGACCUGAGAGGGUGAUCGGCCACACUGGAACGGAGACACGGUCCAGACUCCUACGGGAGGCAGCAGUGGGGAAUCUUCCGCAAUGGGCGAAAGCCUGACGGAGCAACGCCGCGUGAGUGAUGAAGGUCUUCGGAUCGUAAAACUCUGUUAUUAGGGAAGAACAUAUGUGUAAGUAACUGUGCACAUCGUGACGGUACCUAAUCAGAAAGCCACGGCUAACUACGUG
RNAcentral lists this ribosomal RNA (497 nucleotides) under uncultured bacterium. RNAcentral describes it as "partial 16S ribosomal RNA". It matches the Rfam family "Bacterial small subunit ribosomal RNA", at positions 28 to 507 of the family's 1533-position model. The record is from RNAcentral.